UCAUGCCUCCAGCUUCCACUCCAGACACACCACACGAUCCAUCGUCUACAGCCAAGCGCUGAGGUACAACCGCAUCUGCUCCAACCCCUCAGACAGAGACCAACACCUACAAGAUCUUCACCAAGCAUUCUCAAAACUACUAUACCCACACAAGGAAAUAAAGAAACAAAUCAACAGAGCCAGACGUGUACCCAGAAGCCUCCUGCUACAAGCCAGGCCCAAAAAAGAAACCAACAGAACUCCACUGGCCAUCACCUACAGUCCUCAGCUUAAACCUCUCCAACACAUCAUCAGUGAUCUACAACCCAUCCUGGACAAUGAUCCCUCGCUUUCACAGACCUUGGGAGGCAGGUCAGUCCUCGCCCACAGACAACCCGCCAACCUUAAGCAUAUUCUCACCAGCAACCACGCACCGCACCAUAACAACUCUAACUCAGGAACCAACCCAUGCAACAAACCUCGCUGCCAACUCUGCCCACAUAUCUACACCAGCAACACCAUCAAAGGACCUAACCAGAUCAGCUACAUCAUCACUGGCUCAUUCACCUGCACGUCCACCAAUGUUAUAUAUGCCAUCAUGUGCCAGCAAUGCCCCUCUGCUAUGUACACUGGUCAGACUGGACCGUCACUACACAAGAGGAUAAAUGGACACAAGUCAGAUAUCAGGAAUGGCAAUAUACAAAAACCUGUAGGAGAACACUUCAACCUCCCUGGCCACACAAUGUAAAGGUAAAGGUAGCCAUCUUACAGCAAAAAAACUUCAGGACCAGACUCCAAAGAGAAACUGCUGAGCUCCAGUUCAUUUGCAAAUUUGACACCAUCAGAUCAGGAUUAAACAAAGACUGUGAAUGGCUAUCCAACUACAGAAGCAGUUUCUCCUCCCUUGGUGUUCACACCUCAGCUGCUAGCAGAGCACCUCACCCUCCCUGAUUGAACUAACCUCGUUAUCUCCAUACUGAUUUAUACCUGCCUCUGGAAAUUUCCAUUACUUGCAUCUGAAGAAGUGAGGUUCUUACCC
RNAcentral lists this long non-coding RNA (1018 nucleotides) under Chrysemys picta bellii (western painted turtle). Its description in RNAcentral is "lncRNA (ENSCPBG00000003188.1)". The record is from RNAcentral. Lineage: Eukaryota; Metazoa; Chordata; Testudines; Emydidae.